CCUACGGGAGGCAGCAGUGGGGAAUAUUGGGCAAUGGGCGCAAGCCUGACCCAGCAACGCCGCGUGAAGGAAGAAGGCUUUCGGGUUGUAAAAUUCUUGUAAGAGGGAAGAGCAGAAGACGGUACCUCUUGAAUAAGCCACGGCUAACUACGUGCCAGCAGCCGCGGUAAUACGUAGGUGGCAAGCGUUGUCCGGAUUUACUGGGGGUAAAGGGCGUGCAGCCGGGAAGACAAGUCAGAUGUGAAAUCCCGCGGCUCAACCGCGGAACUGCAUUUGAAACUGUUUUUCUUGAGUACCGGAGAGGUCAUCGGAAUUCCUUGUGUAGCGGUGAAAUGCGUAGAUAUAAGGAAGAACACCAGUGGCGAAGGCGGAUGACUGGACGGCAACUGACGGUGAGGCGCGAAAGCGUGGGGAGCAAACAGGAUUAGAUACCCCAGUAGUC
Molecule: ribosomal RNA, 442 nt
Filed under: uncultured bacterium
Lineage: Bacteria
Description: partial 16S ribosomal RNA
Rfam family: Bacterial small subunit ribosomal RNA
Source: RNAcentral